CAUUGCCUGCCCUGUUUGUGAUAAGGAGAACUUGUUGAUCCGGCAAGUUAGAUCUUUUGGGAGUCUGCGUAAAGGGUCGGUGUGCAUGCCUUGUGAAAUACGUGCAGGGAAGCCUAAUGGCUCUUUCAGGGCACCCACCUAUUUCAUAGGCGGAUCUAAUUUCUUCUUGCACGGCAGGGUGGGUUUGUU
Molecule: non-coding RNA, 189 nt
Organism: Nitrospira bacterium SM23_35
Lineage: Bacteria; Pseudomonadati; Nitrospirota; Nitrospiria
Source: Rfam